UAAUAUUAAAGUUCGUCGUGUGCCGCCCGGCAACGGGAAGGACCUUCCCCAGAACGGGGACACGGAACGGAGAGAGGUGCCUGCCGCGCCUCGUGCAUUAGCUGAGGCUCUCGGGAUUAGAUUAGAAUUUGUUAGGGACGUCUCUUCGGCAGUAACUUCGUCCCAGGAACGCUGCCAGUUUUGUUUCAUCGCCCACGGGCGUGAGAGCUUUUCGGAAACUUUAUUACAGGAAGUUCCGUCG
Molecule: ribosomal RNA, 241 nt
Filed under: Monomorium floricola
Lineage: Eukaryota; Metazoa; Arthropoda; Insecta; Hymenoptera; Formicidae
Description: partial 28S ribosomal RNA
Source: RNAcentral